This 521-nucleotide ribosomal RNA is filed under the name Boana polytaenia (Cope's eastern Paraguay treefrog). RNAcentral's name for it is "Hypsiboas polytaenius (Cope's eastern Paraguay treefrog) partial 16S ribosomal RNA". It matches the Rfam family "Bacterial large subunit ribosomal RNA", at positions 1922 to 2596 of the family's 2925-position model. Lineage: Eukaryota; Metazoa; Chordata; Amphibia; Anura; Hylidae. The record is from RNAcentral.
GUUCAACGGCCGCGGUAUCCUAACCGUGCGAAGGUAGCGUAAUCACUUGUUCUUUAAAUGAGGACUAGUAUGAAUGGCACCACGAGGGUUACACUGUCUCCUUUUUUUAAUCAGUGAAACUAAUCUUCCCGUGAAGAAGCGGGAAUUUUUCUAUAAGACGAGAAGACCCUAUGGAGCUUUAAACAAAUUAACAUUUGCUGCCUAAAACAACUCUUCCAGAAACACAACACACAGCAUAGCAUCAUGAUUAAUAGUUUUAGAUUGGGGUGAUCACGGAGUAAAAAACAACCUCCAUGCCGAAAAGGGCCUUCCUGAGCAAAAAACCACAACUUUAAGCACUAAAAAAAUUAACGUUUAUUGACCCAAUAUUUUGAUCAACGAACCAAGUUACCCUAGGGAUAACAGCGCAAUCCACUUCAAGAGCUCCUAUCGACAAGUGGGUUUACGACCUCGAUGUUGGAUCAGGGUAUCCCAGUGGUGCAGCCGCUACUAACGGUUCGUUUGUUCAACGAUUAAAACCC